UCUAUAGUUCCGCAAAAUUUCUCAUUCUCUCUCUCUCUCUCUCUCUCUCUCUCUCUCUUCCUAUUCUCCACAAGUUCUGUUCCCAAAAGAUCUCACUACUUUUUAGAAAUCUUGGAAAUCUUGAAUCUCCAUCUUUUUUUCAACCAACCCUAAUAAUGAAGAAAUCCGGACUAUUCGCCGCUUCCGUCGCCGCCGCAUCCGCCACCGCCGUCACCGUUUCAUCUACCGCUCACAACUCUCAUAAUCAGGACGGUACUGCUGAGAGAAGAGGCCGUAACGAAAACUCUUCGUCGGAGAAAUUCGCUCCAAGAUUUGAUGGGUUGCGUUUCAUUGAAACGCUUGUAACUGCUCAUAGAUGAAAGGGGUUUUCUCUAUUUGGAAUUUUCUUCCUCACGUGUUCCUUCGUCUAUUUGGUUUUGUGUUGGUUGAAGAAGAUUUCACUUGUUGGAAAUAUUUUCUUUUAGUUUUUUUUUCUAAUCUUUAGGAUUAAUUGCUGAAAUAGAGAUAAACAAAUUGUAAUGUCACAGAAUUAUUAUUAUUAUUUGGUGCUUUUCUUUUUUGUGACCCUUUGUGGGAAAUAAAAAAUUGAAGUAUAAAAGAUUUUGGGUGGUUGAUUUGAGCUUAUGUUUUAAUAUAUUUUAAUUAUUUAUGGAAAUUUUGUUUUUGUUUUUUUGUUCUUUAUGUUGAAGUUAAUAAAGUGGUACACUGUCCACUUGUAGGUCCAAAGAAAGUUCAUAAUUGCUUGUUGUCAA
This is a non-coding RNA of Cicer arietinum (chickpea), 752 nucleotides long. The record is from RefSeq and is a predicted model, not a curated record. Lineage: Eukaryota; Viridiplantae; Streptophyta; Magnoliopsida; Fabales; Fabaceae.